UUGCUUUCUUUGCUGGCGACCGGCGCACGGGUGAGUAACACGUAUCCAACCUGCCCUUUACUCGGGGAUAGCCUUUCGAAAGAAAGAUUAAUACCCGAUGGCAUAAUGAUUCCGCAUGGUUUCAUUAUUAAAGGAUUCCGGUAAAGGAUGGGGAUGCGUUCCAUUAGGUUGUUGGCGGGGUAACGGCCCACCAAGCCUUCGAUGGAUAGGGGUUCUGAGAGGAAGGUCCCCCACAUUGGAACUGAGACACGGUCCAA
RNAcentral lists this ribosomal RNA (257 nucleotides) under uncultured bacterium. Its description in RNAcentral is "partial 16S ribosomal RNA". It matches the Rfam family "Bacterial small subunit ribosomal RNA", at positions 76 to 334 of the family's 1533-position model. The record is from RNAcentral.